GCAGGAAAUUUUGUUGACAGACCACCUCACUUCAUCCUCUUAUAACCUUAGGUCUGCAGUGCUAAUAGGAAUAAAGGCAUGAUGAGAAGAAACACGGAAUAUGAUAAAACUUCAGGAGAAUAAUGAAAUACCUUUGAACUGAAGAUUCCAAGAGUAAGGAACUCAGUUGUCCUGAUUUAAAGCAGACUAAGGAAAAACCAACUGAGGGCAAAACUAUCACUGAAGCGAUGACUGAUUCAAUGGGCCAUAGUCACUGAAUGGAGUACUCUAGGGUGUCAAUGUCCAGGUGCUACAAAGCAUGUCCCUUUUGAUGAAUGCUCAGAUCUCAGUCUCUCAUGACCUGGAUAAGAAUGAAAAUGUGAAGGCUGGUCCCAGGAGACUGUCUAACCACAAACAUGCUGGCAAUGGAGUCGUUUUGCAAUCAAAUGGUUCAUACCAUCCUUGUCAUGGAACAGCCACAGAACACAACAGGAUUGUCUGUCUCUCCGUCUGAACACUCUUUCCAGCCUGCAUUAUCCUUGCCACUGCAUCAUUCAGAGCUAGAACCA
This is a long non-coding RNA of Mauremys reevesii (Reeves's turtle), 548 nucleotides long. RefSeq lists it as uncharacterized. Lineage: Eukaryota; Metazoa; Chordata; Testudines; Geoemydidae. The record is from RefSeq and is a predicted model, not a curated record. The transcript is spliced from 3 exons.